This 75-nucleotide antisense RNA is filed under the name Streptomyces chattanoogensis. RNAcentral's name for it is "ASpks TB sRNA". It matches the Rfam family "ASpks TB sRNA". The record is from Rfam by way of RNAcentral. Lineage: Bacteria; Bacillati; Actinomycetota; Actinomycetes; Kitasatosporales; Streptomycetaceae.
CUUCACCGACCCCAGCAGCAACGGACGGUCCUCCGGCCGCUCCUGACCGUACGUCGCCAGCAGUGCCUGGGCCUC